This 912-nucleotide ribosomal RNA is filed under the name uncultured bacterium. Its description in RNAcentral is "bacterial SSU rRNA". It matches the Rfam family "Bacterial small subunit ribosomal RNA", at positions 8 to 916 of the family's 1533-position model. The record is from RNAcentral.
AGAGUUUGAUCAUGGCUCAGGACGAACGCUGGCGGCGUGCUUAACACAUGCAAGUCGAGCGGUAAGGCCCCUUCGGGGGUACACGAGCGGCGAACGGGUGAGUAACACGUGAGUAACCUGCCCCUGACUCUGGGAUAAGCCUGGGAAACUGGGUCUAAUACCGGAUAUGACCUCGUGCCGCAUGGUGUGGGGUGGAAAGGUGUUUUUCCGGUCAGGGAUGGGCUCGCGGCCUAUCAGCUUGUUGGUGGGGUAACGGCCUACCAAGGCGAUGACGGGUAGCCGGCCUGAGAGGGCGACCGGCCACACUGGGACUGAGACACGGCCCAGACUCCUGCGGGAGGCAGCAGUGGGGAAUAUUGCGCAAUGGGCGGAAGCCUGACGCAGCGACGCCGCGUGGGGGAUGAAGGCCUUCGGGUUGUAAACCUCUUUUACCACUCACGAAGGCCCCUGGUUUUCUGGGGGUUGACGGUAGGUGGUGAAUAAGGACCGGCUAACUACGUGCCAGCAGCCGCGGUAAUACGUAGGGUCCGAGCGUUGUCCGGAAUUAUUGGGCGUAAAGAGCUCGUAGGCGGCCUGUCGCGUCUGCUGUGAAAGUCCGGGGCUUAACUCCGGGUGUGCAGUGGAUACGGGCAGGCUUGAGGUAGGUAGGGGAGACUGGAAUUCCUGGUGUAGCGGUGAAAUGCGCAGAUAUCAGGAGGAACCACCGGUGGCGAAGGCGGGUCUCUGGGCCUUACCUGACGCUGAGGAGCGAAAGCGUGGGGAGCGAACAGGAUUAGAUACCCUGGUAGUCCACGCCGUAAACGUUGGGCGCUAGGUGUGGGGACUUUCCACGGUUUCCGUGCCGUAGCUAACGCAUUAAGCGCCCCGCCUGGGGAGUACGGCCGCAAGGCUAAAACUCAAAGGAAUUGACGG